GACGAACGCUGGCGGCGUGCCUAAUACAUGCAAGUCGAACGCUUCUUUCCUCCCGAGUGCUUGCACUCAAUUGGAAAGAGGAGUGGCGGACGGGUGAGUAACACGUGGGUAACCUACCCAUCAGAGGGGGAUAACACUUGGAAACAGGUGCUAAUACCGCAUAACAGUUUAUGCCGCAUGGCAUAAGAGUGAAAGGCGCUUUCGGGUGUCGCUGAUGGAUGGACCCGCGGUGCAUUAGCUAGUUGGUGAGGUAACGGCUCACCAAGGCCACGAUGCAUAGCCGACCGCAGUGGGUGAUAGGCCACACUGGGACUGAGACACGGCCCAGACGCCUACGGGAGGCAGCAGUAGGGAAUCUUCGGCAAUGGUCGAAAGUCUGACCGAGCAACGCCGCGUGAGUGAAGAAGGUGUUCGGAUCGUAAAACUCUGUUGUUAGAGAAGAACAAGGACGUUAGUAACUGAACGUCGCCUGACGGUAUCUAACCAGAAAGCCACGGCUAACUACGUG
RNAcentral lists this ribosomal RNA (508 nucleotides) under uncultured bacterium. Its description in RNAcentral is "partial 16S ribosomal RNA". It matches the Rfam family "Bacterial small subunit ribosomal RNA", at positions 28 to 507 of the family's 1533-position model. The record is from RNAcentral.